This 85-nucleotide transfer RNA is filed under the name compost metagenome. RNAcentral describes it as "tRNA-Ser". It matches the Rfam family "tRNA". From Rfam's summary of the family: Transfer RNA (tRNA) molecules are approximately 80 nucleotides in length. Their secondary structure includes four short double-helical elements and three loops (D, anti-codon, and T loops). The record is from RNAcentral.
GCGCGCGUGGUGAAAUUGGUAGACACGCAAGAUUCAGGUUCUUGUGCCUUCGGGUGUGGAGGUUCGACUCCUCUCGCGCGCACCA